UAAAUUACGGAUUUUGAUUAGGUAGGCAUAGUCUGUUGGUUACUUCUAUGAAAUUGAAUUUGAUCAAUAAAUCACCCUUGACCAUGGACGCGACCCUACCUUUUAUUGAAUGAAAUAUUUCG
RNAcentral lists this microRNA precursor (122 nucleotides) under Schmidtea mediterranea. RNAcentral's name for it is "microRNA sme-mir-2153 precursor". Lineage: Eukaryota; Metazoa; Platyhelminthes; Tricladida; Dugesiidae. The record is from miRBase by way of RNAcentral.